Molecule: unclassified non-coding RNA, 272 nt
Filed under: plant metagenome
Description: partial contains small subunit ribosomal RNA, internal transcribed spacer 1, and 5.8S ribosomal RNA
Source: RNAcentral
UUUCCGUAGGUGAACCUGCGGAAGGAUCAUUACUGAGUUGUCAUGGGGUUCGAUGCUGGCAGACAGUUUUUGGAUGCAUGUGCUUGCCCUAACAAUCAUCUUCUUCCAAACACCUGUGCACAUUUUUGAGGGAGUCUUGAGUUGGUUGCCGCUCUUGGGUGAUUUUCUCACAUUCCCUUAAAUCAUUAUACGCUAUUAACAAUGUUGAACGUGCUCUGUGCCGCAAGGCCAUUAAUAUAAUACAACUUUUAACAACGGAUCUCUUGGCUCUC